AGUCCCGUAACGAGCGCAACCCUUGUCCCUAGUUGCUAGCAGGUAAUGCUGAGAACUCUAGGGAGACUGCCGGUGACAAACCGGAGGAAGGUGGGGACGACGUCAAGUCAUCAUGGCCCUUACGUCCUGGGCUACACACGUGCUACAAUGGUUGGUACAGACGGUCGCUAAGCCGCGAGGUGGAGCUAAUCCGAGAAAACCAAUCGUAGUCCGGAUCGGAGUCUGCAACUCGACUCCGUGAAGUCGGAAUCGUUAGUAAUCGUGAAUCAGAAUGUCACGGUGAAUACGUCCCGGGCCUUGUACACACCGCCCGUCACACCAUGGGAGUGGGUUGCUCCAGAAGUGGUUAGUUUUUCUUUUCAGAGGAAGAUUGGUCCUACCCCAAU
Molecule: ribosomal RNA, 386 nt
Filed under: uncultured Microbulbifer sp.
Lineage: Bacteria; Pseudomonadati; Pseudomonadota; Gammaproteobacteria; Cellvibrionales; Microbulbiferaceae
Description: bacterial SSU rRNA
Rfam family: Bacterial small subunit ribosomal RNA
Source: RNAcentral